RNAcentral lists this ribosomal RNA (276 nucleotides) under uncultured bacterium. Its description in RNAcentral is "partial 16S ribosomal RNA". It matches the Rfam family "Bacterial small subunit ribosomal RNA", at positions 524 to 796 of the family's 1533-position model. The record is from RNAcentral.
UACGAAGGGGGCUAGCGUUGUUCGGAUUUACUGGGCGUAAAGCGCACGUAGGCGGAUCAUUAAGUCAGGGGUGAAAUCCUGGAGCUCAACUCCAGAACUGCCUUUGAUACUGGUGAUCUUGAGUCCGGAAGAGGUGAGUGGAACUCCUAGUGUAGAGGUGGAAUUCGUAGAUAUUAGGAAGAACACCAGUGGCGAAGGCGGACUCACUGGUCCGGUACUGACGCUGAGGUGCGAAAAGCGUGGGGAGCAAACAGGGAUUAAGAUACCCCGUAGUCC